GGGGUGCUGACUUGAACCCUGGCAACAGAUGUCCAAAAUCAACAUGAGAAACUACGUUUGAGGUGGAAAUGAAGAUUACAUGGAUUAAUGUUUCUAAAUUAAAUAAUAAUACAGUGAUAAAUCAAGUUCAUCGGUACUGGUGCAGCCUAUAAAGUCCGCCACUAAACAAGUUCAAAAACAUUCAUUUCAUAAAGAAUGUUUUGGAACUUGUUACCGCCAACCAGUACCAUACAUUGAGAGUCGAUAUAACAGAUAACUCUGAUUGUAAUAUUGUGUAAUAACAAGAAUCUGACCGCAGUAACUACUAGCUAACAGAUUCCCGAAGCCAAUGACCUACUUCGCCGUUUGAUGGUAAAUAAAUGGAUGCAAAUUGAUAAUAGCAUAACUGGAUAAUAAAUAGAUAAAAAUAGAUACAGC
RNAcentral lists this long non-coding RNA (417 nucleotides) under Mytilus galloprovincialis (Mediterranean mussel). Lineage: Eukaryota; Metazoa; Mollusca; Bivalvia; Mytilida; Mytilidae. The record is from RNAcentral.